UGAGGUAGUAAGUUGUGUUGUUGUGGGGUGUGGGAUAUCACCGCCCCAUUUAGGAGAUGCAACUAUACAACUUACUGCCUUC
This is a microRNA precursor of Gadus morhua (Atlantic cod), 82 nucleotides long. Ensembl annotates it as gmo-let-7h-2. Its record names the gene gmo-let-7h-2. Lineage: Eukaryota; Metazoa; Chordata; Actinopteri; Gadiformes; Gadidae. The record is from Ensembl.